RNAcentral lists this ribosomal RNA (253 nucleotides) under uncultured bacterium. Its description in RNAcentral is "partial 16S ribosomal RNA". It matches the Rfam family "Bacterial small subunit ribosomal RNA", at positions 524 to 776 of the family's 1533-position model. The record is from RNAcentral.
UACGUAGGUGGCAAGCGUUGUCCGGAAUUACUGGGUGUAAAGGGAGCGCAGGCGGGGGAACAAGUCAGUUGUGAAAUCCAUGGGCUUAACCCGUGAACUGCAGUUGAAACUGUUCUUCUUGAGUGAAGUAGAGGUUGGCGGAAUUCCGAGUGUAGCGGUGAAAUGCGUAGAUAUUCGGAGGAACACCGGUGGCGAAGGCGGCCAACUGGGCUUUUACUGACGCUGAGGCUCGAAAGUGUGGGGAGCAAACAGG